UUUCCUGGUGUAGCGGUGGAAUGCGCAGAUAUCAGGAGGAACACCGAUGGCGAAGGCAGAUCUCUGGGCCGUAACUGACGCUGAGGAGCGAAAGGGUGGGGAGCAAACAGGCUUAGAUACCCUGGUAGUCCACCCCGUAAACGUUGGGAACUAGUUGUGGGGUCCAUUCCACGGAUUCCGUGACGCAGCUAACGCAUUAAGUUCCCCGCCUGGGGAGUACGGCCGCAAGGCUAAAACUCAAAGGAAUUGACGGGGACCCGCACAAGCGGCGGAGCAUGCGGAUUAAUUCGAUGCAACGCGAAGAACCUUACCAAGGCUUGACAUAUACGAGAACGGGCCAGAAAUGGUCAACUCUUUGGACACUCGUAAACAGGUGGUGCAUGGUUGUCGUCAGCUCGUGUCGUGAGAUGUUGGGUUAAGUCCCGCAACGAGCGCAACCCUCGUUCUAUGUUGCCAGCACGUAAUGGUGGGAACUCAUGGGAUACUGCCGGGGUCAACUCGGAGGAAGGUGGGGAUGACGUCAAAUCAUCAUGCCCCUUAUGUCUUGGGCUUCACGCAUGCUACAAUGGCCGGUACAAAGGGCUGCAAUACCGUGAGGUGGAGCGAAUCCCAAAAAGCCGGUCCCAGUUCGGAUUGAGGUCUGCAACUCGACCUCAUGAAGUCGGAGUCGCUAGUAAUCGCAGAUCAGCAACGCUGCGGUGAAUACGUUCCCGGGUCUUGUACACACCGCCCGUCAAGUCAUGAAAGUCGGUAACACCUGAAGCCGGUGCCUAACCCUUGUGGAGGGAUACCGUCGAAUGGGAUACGUAUCCGGCC
This 816-nucleotide ribosomal RNA is filed under the name Microbacterium sp. WBQ_27S. RNAcentral's name for it is "bacterial SSU rRNA". It matches the Rfam family "Bacterial small subunit ribosomal RNA", at positions 666 to 1481 of the family's 1533-position model. The record is from RNAcentral. Lineage: Bacteria; Bacillati; Actinomycetota; Actinomycetes; Micrococcales; Microbacteriaceae.